GAGCCAGCACCCACUGCUGUGGACCCUCACCACCUGUGCUUUCUCCUCCAGGAACUUCCGCAAACACCUGCGCAUGGUUGGCAGUCGGCGGGUGAAGGCCCAGAGUAAGAGGGGUCCAGGGAGGGGCGUCGCUGCGCUUGGCAGUCUGGGGCUUCUUGGCAAGCUGGCUUUGCAUGCUGGCAGUGCGCCUCCAUCAGCCUGUUCCGGCCCCACAUACACACACAAGCACCGCCACCGCCCAUUGGCCUGUUCUGCCUUCCCCUCAGCUCUUGCCCCUUCUCUGUUGUUCUGCUCCUGUCCAUCUCUGUCUCAGUGUUCUGUCUUGUCCCCAGCAGUGUUCUGCCUCACCUAGGCCCUACUUGACCAGCCCCCUAACCUACUGUUCUGCCUGGCUUAGGCCCUGCCCUGAGCCCACAGUAGUCCACACUGUGCCCCUUUGCCUCCACCCUCACGUCCUCCAAGUCCAGACUCUGCUCCUAGUAUGCUGUGCCUCUAUUCAAGUCUCACCGUUGGUCUUAGUCCACUCUCUGUGACCUCAGGCCCGGUCCUUGUCAGCUUCUGCCUCUCCGCACACCCCAGCCCCCAUCCCAGGGCCUGAGUCUGCUCUGUUCUUGCCCUC
Molecule: long non-coding RNA, 619 nt
Filed under: Rattus norvegicus (Norway rat)
Lineage: Eukaryota; Metazoa; Chordata; Mammalia; Rodentia; Muridae
Description: long non-coding RNA NONRATT017862
Source: RNAcentral